CAGCUGGCCGCCAGCUAGUACUCCAGCCAAUUUUACGUGGAAUUUUUGUUUCAGACAAGCCCACCUUAAAGGUCACCCUUAAAAGAGGCAAUUCAAAACCUCUCAGAAACAACCGAGUGCAUUCUUUGAUUGUUAUGCAGAAGCCUCUAAAAGGUGAAACGCUUGCAAAAACUGCUCUAAAAAAGAUCCUAAAAGAAAAAAAAGAAAAGAAUCUUUAGUAAAAGUUUUUAGCCAUCUGAGCAAAGAAACUUAAUUUAAUUCAUGUGCCAGAAAAACAAUUUGGAUGCAGCUAUUUUUUUGAGUUUUGUACCUGAGCCAUGGCUAAAAUUUUGAAGAUCUCUGUUAGUGUCUAUCUGUGUGUCUGUGUUGGAAGUCUCUAUGCUUGUCUGCCUCCAGUGGUAGAAUUUCUGAAGGAGCUCUGUGUAAUCGGCUUGAGCUGGAGCAUUUCCUGCCGAAGGGCCAUGGCUCAAUCAGUAAGUAAACUACUACCGGAAAAUACCAUUCCAGAACGGGGAGUUCUGGCAGAACUACACAGUGACCGGGCACUCAUUUCACUGGACAAGUUAUGGAGGAAAUUUGUAAAUUUCUGGCCUAAUGGGCCGCGUCUUCACUGCAGCUACCACCUGCAAUCGUCAGGCCUAACGGAACGAACAAAUGGCGUCAUUAACACCCAACUGGCCAAGCUCACAGAAGCCUUUUCUUUACCACGGCCUAAAGCCCUUCCACUGGUAUUGCUUAACCUAAGAUCAACACUCUUUGGGAAAUACAAUUGUCUACAUGGGAGGUUAUUCCUGGGAGAUCUAUGUGUCUAGAUGAAGGAUUAUAUGAACCUUCAUUACUAAAAGAUGACACACUUCACUCUUGUAAAAUCUGAAUCAAGCUAUUAAAGGAACGCUCGAAAUUGGUUGCUGAUGCAUAUGACGCAAAUUUACCCAUGGCGGAAGCCAUACGGACUCACAAUAUACAGCCUGGUGACUACAUGUAUUGGAAACGUCACUAUUUGAAAAACUGUUUGCAGCCCAAGUGGAAAGGACCUUUUGACUAAU
This 1046-nucleotide long non-coding RNA is filed under the name Equus asinus (donkey). Its description in RNAcentral is "lncRNA (ENSEASG00005037168.1)". Lineage: Eukaryota; Metazoa; Chordata; Mammalia; Perissodactyla; Equidae. The record is from RNAcentral.